RNAcentral lists this ribosomal RNA (327 nucleotides) under Triticum aestivum (bread wheat). RNAcentral describes it as "partial small subunit ribosomal RNA". Lineage: Eukaryota; Viridiplantae; Streptophyta; Magnoliopsida; Poales; Poaceae. The record is from RNAcentral.
GCCUCUCUACUCCCGCCCCGGGGCGCCCGCAUCGCCCUCCGUCGGUCCAGGCAUCCUUACCCUUUGGCAAGAAAUUCCGGGUGGUUUCAGAAUGCAACAAGGUUGAGGACAGAAGACCCAAAGAAGACUCUGUUUGCAUCAGAUUCAGAUUCUCCUAGCACCGAGGUUUCAAAACAGAGCAGCACUGGUGACGCCAGCGCUUCUCCGGAUGGCCCGCCAGUCCUCACCAUUUUGGCUGGUAUCGUUGUGUUCUUCCUGCUCUUGUGGGUAAUCGGAUCAAUCUUCACCUGGACCGUCGGUCUGGUCUUCGGGGCUGCGAAAUCUUAG